UGAGGAAUAUUGGUCAAUGGGCGAGAGCCUGAACCAGCCAAGUCGCGUGAGGGAGUACUGCCCUAUGGGUUGUAAACCUCUUUUGUCGGGGAGCAAAAGCCGGACGUGUCCGGCUGUGAGAGUACCCGAAGAAAAAGCAUCGGCUAACUCCGUGCCAGCAGCCGCGGUAAUACGGAGGAUGCAAGCGUUAUCCGGAUUUAUUGGGUUUAAAGGGUGCGCAGGCGGAUUUUUAAGUCAGCGGUCAAAUCGUGGGGCUCAACCCCAUCCAGCCGUUGAAACUGGGGAUCUAGAGUGUGCGAGAGG
RNAcentral lists this ribosomal RNA (303 nucleotides) under uncultured bacterium. Its description in RNAcentral is "bacterial SSU rRNA". It matches the Rfam family "Bacterial small subunit ribosomal RNA", at positions 355 to 657 of the family's 1533-position model. The record is from RNAcentral.